GCAAGUCGAGCGGUAACAGAGAGUGCUUGCACUCUGCUGACGAGCGGCGGAAGGGUGAGUAACGCGUAGGAAUCUACCAAGUAGUGGGGGAUAAGCCAGAGAAAUUUGGUCUAAUACCGCAUACGUUCUUCGGAAGAAAGGAGGGGAUCUUCGGACCUUUCGCUAUGUGAGGAGCCUGCGUGAGAUUAGCUUGUUGGUGAGGUAAGAGCUCACCAAGGCGACGAUCUCUAGCUGGUCUGAGAGGAUGAGC
This 250-nucleotide ribosomal RNA is filed under the name uncultured bacterium. RNAcentral's name for it is "partial 16S ribosomal RNA". It matches the Rfam family "Bacterial small subunit ribosomal RNA", at positions 57 to 305 of the family's 1533-position model. The record is from RNAcentral.